Long non-coding RNA from Apis dorsata (giant honeybee), 513 nucleotides. RefSeq lists it as uncharacterized. Lineage: Eukaryota; Metazoa; Arthropoda; Insecta; Hymenoptera; Apidae. The transcript has 2 exons. The record is from RefSeq and is a predicted model, not a curated record.
AGAUAAAUAGAAAUAAAGGAUGGAAAUGGAAAAAUGGAGGAUCGAGGAAGAUACGGCGCGACGUUCACUCCGUAAAACUGAAUGGAACGGUGAUGAAAAUCGUCAGAGGUGCGGAGGAUAGCAUGGAGGAGGAGGGGAGAGAAGACGAGGCAAAGGGUGGAAAGAUUUGGCAACCGAGGUGCGGAUAAAUAAAAACGGCGAAGGAGCGGAGCCAAGAGCGUGGAGAGAUACGUGUCGGGAAAGAAAACGAGGAGAAUGGAUGCGAUCUGGGGGAGGGAGUGUGAACGAUGUCUGCUCUUUGAACCGGCGGAGGAUCUAAUGACGCGGACUUCCGGCUGCACUCGCUCCAGUUUCGAAUUUUAUCGAAAUUUUAUCGACCGUCGUGACAAUUUUUCACCUCUUUCUUUCUUUCACAGCUUUGCGUGCGAAAUCUCUCCUUUCUCGCUAUUCUUUGAGGGUGUCGUGAUUGCUUCUCCCCUUCCCGCUUCCCCCCCCCCCUCCCGCUUUAUCGAA